UUUUCAUCUCCUAAAAGAACAAAGUAUUUUUGGGAUAUUGGUCUGGCCCUGAUAAGAGAUCAUGAAAGGUUUUUCCUUACCUUUUUGUGUUUUAUCAGAACUGUCUCCGGUGCUUUGUGUUAAAAGCUGAAACUUUUCUACUAAAGGAGCUGAAGUUUUGCAGCUAUGUAACCCUCUAUAUUCAUCUUUGAAAUCUUUUUGUCACUUUGGUUAAAUAGAUAACUAAAUAUUGUUUCAUAAUGAUCUCUGAUCCUAAUUUAGGCAAGUUUUUUUUUAAAGAUUUUAUUUUUUUCCUUUUUCUCCCCAAAGCCCCCCGGUACAUAGUUGUGUAUUCUUCGUUGUGGGUUCUUCUAGUUGUGGCAUGUGGGACGCUGCCUCAGCGUGGUCUGAUGAGCAGUGCCAUGUCCGCGCCCAGGAUUCGAACUAACGAAACACUGGGCCACCUGCAGCGGAGCACGCGAACUUAACCACUUGGCCACGGGGCCAGCCCCUAGGUAACUUCAGGAUUUGUCAGAGGAUCCUUGAAACAUCUCAAAAGAUUUGUUCUUGAGCCAGCCCUGAUGGCCCAGUGGUUAAAUUCAGUGCCAUCACCACUUUGGCAGUCCAGGAUCAUUUCCAAGUCUUGGAACCACACCACCCGUCUGUCUGUGCCAUACUACAAUGGUGGCUCACACAGAAGAACUAGAAGGAUUUAUGGUUAGGAUAUACAAUCAUGUAACUGGGGCUUUGGGGAGGAAAAAAAAGGAAAGGGAGGUUGGCAACAGAUGUUAGGUCAGGGAAAAUCUUUCCCUAAAAAAAAUAAAUAAAUAAAAGAUUUGUUCUCUCUCCUUAUAAAAAAAAGGGAAAUAUUAAGCUAAUUAGGUUUAUUUGAUAUGUUAAAUUACAUGAGAACCAUUGUUAAAUAAGAAAUAACAUUAAGCCUUCUUUAUUUUGUAUCUGUAUAUGUUAUAGGAGUUUCAGAAAUUAUGUGAAAUUCCUGGAAAUCUAAUAUGUAAUGUGUAAAAUGUUGUCUGUCAUCAAAACUGAGGGUUACACUGAAUAACAGGAAAGUGCCUUAGCUGAAGUUCAUGCAAAGGCAGUAAGGACAGAAUCUGUAAUGGUUAUGACACAUGUGGAUGAAGUCCAUUCUGUUUCCUCUCACCAAAAAAAAAAAAAUUGAGCUUCACUGCCAGACUUUGGCCUUCCUGAUGUCUUUGUAACAUAGCAACAGUACGUUCUUGAAUAACAAAAAUUAAGAUGAGUAAACAGUAGUUGUCGAUUAAACAAAUAGUUGGGGCUGUAGGAAACCAAACACGGCUGCUUGAUUCUUCCCAGUUCCCCGGAAAGCCCCAUUUUUUGGCUUUUACAUUCCUUCACCCACUAAAGGAAAGACUGUUUCUGCCCCCAGAGGCCUCCGAACUCCUCGCUCUGGGCCCUUUGAGCACCUGCAGCUGGACUUCAUUCUCCUGCCACUUAGUACGGGUUAUCAAUAUGUUCUUGUUAUCGUAUGUAUGUUUUCCAGGUGGAUUGAAGCCUUCCCUUGCCACAAAGCUGAUGCCUCACAAUGGCAAAGAAGCCUGUUAGAAAAUGUGUUUCCCAUUUGGGGUAUACCUUCCACAAUCUCCAGUGAUCGAGGGACCCACUUCACUAGGCAAAUCAUAUGAGUCUCAGUGAAAACCUUGCCACCUUCUUGGAGUUAGCACUAUUCCUAUCACUCUCAAUCAUCACACAAAGUCAAAAGACCUAAAGGAAAACUAGAUUCAAGAAGAACAAGAAUUAAUACAUAGGACUGAAUGAACUGAUAAAUAUGGUUAUAAUUUUUAUGACUUUUGGUCUAAAAGAUUACUAUUUUUUAAUCCUUUGUUUUCCAGACAUAAGAAAAUUUUUUUUCUCAUAAGCCAACUAUGACUACAGCAAUUGGUAAAUUAUGUGUUUGUAAACAUAAUUGAAACAUUUAUCUUUUUCUUCCUACCUUAUUCCUCCAGGAUUCAGAAAUUUAGUGAGUAUUCUUAUUUUCAUGGCAAUAUAAUUAUUUGGAUAAGUUCAACAGAAUCUGUUCUCCUUGUAGCAGGACACAAGUGCAAACUGGUUCUAUUACCAAGGCUUUGACUUGAAUGUCAUAUUUGAGAGAGAAUGUGCAUGGACUCAGGUAUGACCAGAUAGCUUUAAGGAAUCAAGGUGGACUGUAUGGAGCAAAUAAAGCACCUUGGAAGUAUUGGCUUGGUAUCUUGCUUAUAGUGUUCCCCGCAGCCUUACCAGGUGAGUAAGGAAGGUCACUUCAUGGCAGGUGCAGGAACCUCAGGAUAUCUUGGAACAUCGAGAAGAGAAGAACUCACCCAAAUCUAUAGGUAUGGCAGGCAAGUCUGAUGGCAAGUCCUUGGCUUGGUUUCCUGGCCUCAAGAGGCCUUUAAAAGUUCAAUUGGAAAUUCCUUGUGAAAGAUUCUAGCAAAGCAGAUUUAAAUGAUCCUAUGUGAUCAAUCACUAUUCUUGCUGCACUUAAGAAAAUAACAGGGGCAAGCUUGGUGGCACAGCAGUUAAGUGCACACGUUCCACUUUGGCGGCCUGGGGUUUGCUGGUUCAGAUCCCAGGUGCGGACAUGGCACUGCUUGGCAAGCCAUGCUGUGGCAGGAGUCCCGCAUAGAAAAUAGAGGAAGAUGGGCAUGGAUGUUAGCUCAGGGCCAGUCUUCCUCAGCAAAAAAAAAAAAAAAAGAGGAGGAUGGGCAGCAGAUGUUAGCUCAGGGCUAAUCUUCCUAAAAAACAAAAUAGAAAAAGAAAAUAGACCAAGUUUCUUGAGACCAGACAUUUUACAAACAAAUUAAUUUCACUGCGAUGAUCUUUGAUAGAAAUGGAUGUGAUUUUUUUUUUUUUUUUAAGAUUUUAUUUUUUCCUUUUUCUCCCCAAAGCCCCCCGGUACAUAGUUGUGUAUUCUUCGUUGUGGGUUCUUCUAGUUGUGGCAUGUGGGACGCUGCCUCAGCGUGGUCUGAUGAGCAGUGCCAUGUCCGCGCCCAGGAUUCGAACUAACGAAACACUGGGCCGCCUGCAGCGGAGAGCGCGAACUUAACCACUCGGCCACGGGGCCAGCCCCCGAAAUGGAUGUGAUUUUAGAGAGAAGAAUUAUGUUUCAAUAAAAACAUCUUUGUGGAUAUUAGAUUCUAAUGCUGGUCAUUGUCUUUCAAGGUUUUGUUUACAAUCUGCUAACUGGACUGGAUCCUGAAUUCUUCUCCCUUCUUCCAGUCUUGGCUACAACCUUCCAAACUAACAUAUCCAAUUUUCUCUCACCUUUGGACUUGGAAUCAUUGAGAACUACAUCUGCCCUUUUUCUUUUUCUUUCUUUUUGUUUAAUUAAUUUUUGUUGUUGUUGAGGAAGAGUGGCCCUGAGCUAACAUCCAUGCCCACCUUCCUCAACUUUAUAUGUGGGAUGCCUGCCACAGCAUGGCUUAACAAGCUGUGCAUAGGUCUGCACCCGGGAUCCGAACCAGCAAACCUCAGGUCGUCAAAGUGGAACGUGCGAACUUAACCACUGCACCACCAGGCUGGCCCCUGCUCUUUUUCUUGAAUCCCUGAAAACUGAAGCCCAACAACUUGACAUAAAUUUCAGAGAAAUCAUCACAAUGGCUUGCAUAUGGACAAUCUCCAUACCUGUUGCUUCAUGGGCCACUCAGAAAGAUCAUCAGAGACACUCAAACUGAAAACUAGGAAAAUCUGUCAGAUUGCUCUUGUUUGCCCUCAUUUCAUCUGAAAAUGCUUGGAACCAGACAUCUAGAACUCUCCUCAACUGACUGCCUUCAGAAUGCAGAAACUGGGAUUAUAGUCUGCUCCAGUCACUAACCAUUGUUUUUCUGUUGUUUCCAUAGAAAUGCUUCUUAUUAAAUACCUCAUUGCUUGCACCACAGGCCUCAUGUUGGGAGCCCACCUGCAUCACUGCCUCCUGAAAUUGGACACAAGUGUUUAAUUGGACUAAACGCCCCCCUAAACUGAGAGACUGGUUCAGUGAGAUGGAGCAAUCCACCAACCCCACUUGUAGAAUGUGAAACUUCUCAUGAAAUUUCAACAGUGGGACUGAAGGGGUUCAGAACAGGCCUCCCCCGGAUGCGUCACUUUGGCAUGUGGAACGUUUUGAGCUAAAGAUCAGCCAGAAGAAUCCAGAAGGGUAC
This 4133-nucleotide long non-coding RNA is filed under the name Equus caballus (horse). Its description in RNAcentral is "lncRNA (ENSECAG00000053258.1)". Lineage: Eukaryota; Metazoa; Chordata; Mammalia; Perissodactyla; Equidae. The record is from RNAcentral.